AUGGUAGUGGUUCACGUUUCGAAGGUGAACUUGACUAAUACAAAACCCUUCAGGGUUGUCGUGGUACUAAGGGUCUUUGGACUUGACGGAUCCGAUGCCUCCGGGCGUAGUGCUACAAGUUCGUUUUCGGAGAGUGUCGUGGUACUUGGUGUCCCUGUAGUCGAACUUGCCGGUCUUGGCGUCCAACACAAAACAAUGCCAGGGGCCUCGGGAUGCCAGCAGCAAGGAGGCGAUGGUGGUGGUCAGCCGCACGAGAUGGUCGGCAGCUUGAGCGGAGGCAGACCAACAAGGCGCUGGCUAGGCCUUGCAGCAGAAGCAAACCACGCACGCGGUUGCGCGGGCGCUCGGUCAACGCUGGAGGCCAGCGAGGCAGAGGAGGUCGAACGGGCUGCCGGAGAGCAGAUGCAGGGGAGACAUGGCGGCGCAUGGUGGUGGCUGCGAGCUCCUGCGCAGGGAAAGGAGAGGGUAGCCUGGUGGUGGUGCUGGUUGCCGACAGGGGCGACUCCUGUCGAGGCCAGGAUUUACAGGGAGAAGAUGAACAUUAAUGGGGGAGUGAAAAAUGGCACUUGCCAAAAGAAAGAAAGAGAAGGAGAGGUGGUGAUGAGUGAAGGGGGGAAGAUGAUGCCAUGA
This 630-nucleotide ribosomal RNA is filed under the name Triticum aestivum (bread wheat). RNAcentral's name for it is "partial small subunit ribosomal RNA". Lineage: Eukaryota; Viridiplantae; Streptophyta; Magnoliopsida; Poales; Poaceae. The record is from RNAcentral.